Capsella rubella is the source of this 2240-nucleotide long non-coding RNA. RefSeq lists it as uncharacterized. Lineage: Eukaryota; Viridiplantae; Streptophyta; Magnoliopsida; Brassicales; Brassicaceae. The transcript has 5 exons. The record is from RefSeq and is a predicted model, not a curated record.
UCUCAUUCUCUCUCUCCCUCUCUCUCCCUCUCUCUCUUACGUUAAACCAUGGUUAUGUGGCUUGAUUAGUUUAAGUAUGGAUGCAACAAUGGAGGAAUUAAUCAAUCGGUAGUGUUGUGGCGAUGAUGAUUGACUAUACUUAUGGGCUCUUCGUGAAUCGUGAUGGUUCGAUUUCAUUAAUGGAGAGACGGAGGAGAGGACGAGCGGUGUUUUCGUUUGAAUCGUUCCUGAAAUUAAAGCAAAGGAUCAUUCAAAGUUGGGACUAUGGACCUAUCAGCUUGAACUUUCUACAAACAAGAGACUUCUUCUGUGGAGUUUGGAGCUAAUGAGGCUGGUUAAUUGGCUCCGAAUGACUAUGUUCCUGAUGGUAUAAUGGAAGUGAGACUAGUAUAACAAUAGUGAGACUGCCCAGAUUUUUAAAUUCCCCACGGUCAUAUUCAUCAAGCUGAAAAAAGCAUGGUCUCGAGGUAAUAAAACUUACCUGUCUCAUUGUCCUUGUCCCUUUGAAUGAAAACAUCACAGUCCCAAGUCGAGUUCAUAAUCAUCUGGUUGUAAUCAAAUGCCUCGUCCCAUUCGAGGUAAUCUAAAUUACCUCUCUGAAUGUCCCUGUCCCUAAUGUUAGAAUGAAAAUGAGACAGUUCUCAUUCUGUCAAGUCUCGGGUUUCUAGUCCCCUGAGCUGAAAACAAAUGCCUCAUCCCAUUCGAGGUAAUCAAAAUUACCUCUUUAAAUGUCCCUGUCCCUGAAGUUGGAAUGAAAAUGAGACAGUUCCCAUUCUGUCAAGUCUCGGGUUUCUAGUCCCUUGAGCUGAAAACAAAUGCCUCGUCUCGGUCAAGGUAAUCUAAAUUACCUCUCUAUAUGUCCCUGCCCCGAAAAUUGGAAUGAAAAUGAGACAGUUCUCAAGCUGUCAAGGCUCGGGUUUCUAGUCCCCGAGCUGAAAACAAAUGCCUCGUCCCAUUAAAGGUAAUCAAAAUUACCUCUCUGAAUGUCCUUGUCCCUGAAGCUGGAAUGAAAAUGAGACAGUUCCCAUUCUGUCUAGUCUCGGGUUUCUUGUCCCCGAGCUGAAAACAAAUGCCUCGUCCCAUUCGAGGUAAUCAAAAUUACCUCUUUAAAUGUCCCUGUCCCUGAAGUUGUAAUGAAAAUGAGACAGUGCCCAUUCUGUCAAGUCUCGGGUUUCUAGUCCCCGAACUGAAAACAAAUGCCUCGUCUCGGUCAAGGUAAUCUAAAUUACCUCUCUGAAUGUCCCUUUCCGUGAUGUUAUAAUGAAAAUGAGACAGUUCCAAUGCUGUCUAGUCUCGGGUUUGUAGUCCCUGAGCUGAAAACAAAUGCAAAAGUAUGAGAUACAUGGAGCAUGUGGAUUGACGUAAAUCAGGUAACUACUUAACCUUCUGACUUGCUUAAAAUAUAUUUUCAGGAUCAAUAUGCAGAAGUAGAAGUAUGACCAUACAUGAGCAUGUGGAUUUUUUUUUAUAUUCUGCAUAUGUGAGAUAAGGUGGCUAUUCUUCAGCUCUUAAAAAUCAGCAUAAGACUUUCAGCCACAGAUGGAUGUUGUAUAGUGCUCGGCACAAAGGGGGAUGUCAAGGAUAUUAAUUCAAGGUCGGGGUAAAAGGUUCGUCUUUACAAGUCAGAGAUCGGCAGUUACAAGAAAGAAAGGUUAUUAAUCUGUUCGACAAUCUAAGUUACUAAAGCCGAGCUCUGCGGAGUACUUCUGUCCUCUGUCUGUGUACUUGAUGUCUUGUCACAUCAAUUCUCUUUCCUUUUAUAGGAGAAUGAUGUGACAGGACACCGACUUUGGCGCGUGGCCUAAUGGGCUGAUCGUUUGAGGCCCGGAUACUCGUUUCUUGUCGUCUUCCGCGGGUUAGCGCCACGUCACUCGCUCUCCCCCGGGCCGGGCAGGUAAAUAGUGGAAAGGGGCUCGCGAAUUGAGGCCCAUAUCCAACAAUGGAUGAAAUCUUAGAUGUUGUUAUCAUGUAUAAAGUUUGUUUUAACUCAUUUUAUGAGUGUUAUGACUCUGUUUGUAAUGUGUGUGUUCAUAUCAUUUAGAGCAGAUUGCUAAGUUUAAUUUUUUUGUUGAGCUUGCGAUACAAAUUGUUUUGGGUUUAGUUUAGUUUGUAAAAGUUCUACGAAGGACUGAUGUGGUGAGAAUAAAAGCCUUGUUGCAACGCAUGAUGUGAUUCUUUGUAUAACAACAUUAUCCAUUUAAAUUGUAAACUUAUGAAUAUCAGAAAACUGCAUUGAAUUA